AUUAUUGUCCCAGCAACGCAAAUGCGGAUCCGUUGGGUUGAUUGAGCUAAUCGGAUUUCAGAAACGACGCGUUCCGACGAAGGCCAGGAGGUUGGUGAGAGCAGAGGAAAGAGAUGGUGUUGAGUACUGGAGCGGCGGUGAGGGUGGCCCAAGUCUCAGCCAAUCUCUGUCAAUACAUAUCCUGCAAUCCCGAGCGGUUGAGCAGCGACACCGUGUUGCGCCUCCUCUUCUGCCUCCCUUUCCGCCGUUUGGCCCUUUCUCUUUCCACUUACCUUGGUUUUACCGCCUUUCCCCCUUCUGCCGCUGACAACGCCUAUUUCCACUCCGAUUGAUUUCUCUUCCCUCUCUCUCCCUUAAUCGAUCCAUGAAUGAACGCUAUGCCACUGUGUAUUUCAGAUCUAUUUCUUUGACGUCUCUGUAUGCGUGGAUCGCCUAACUAUUGCACUGAAUCGAGCAUGCGGCUUCUUGUGAUGGGUACGAUGCUUUUAGAUUACGAGUCCAGGUAAUGUACCGCACACCCAAAAGGGAGCAUUGGAUGAAACUAUACAACAAAUGAAACUUGGAUCUAAAUUCACCAAAUAAAUAUGAUGGAAUUUUCCAGCUUCUUUUCUUUAUACAGCUUCCCUGCCUGGUAUUGUUUCUUUUGUGUUUUGCACUUCCUGGCUCUGUAACAUGAUCACAGGAUCAAACAAGCUGUACAAGAAACAAUAUAUACAUCACCAAAACAGGUCCAAAGUAAUAUUUUGUAUUCUUGCCUUCCGCUAAUGACUUGUUCUCUUAAAACUCUAUGUCUUAAAAGCUUGUUAUCACAUUGA
Molecule: long non-coding RNA, 815 nt
Organism: Neltuma alba
Lineage: Eukaryota; Viridiplantae; Streptophyta; Magnoliopsida; Fabales; Fabaceae
Exons: 2
Source: RefSeq, a predicted model, not a curated record